CGGGCCGUGGCGUGGGCCGGUCUGCUGCUGGUGGCCUACGACGGCGUCACGAGCAGCGCGCGGCUCGUGACCGUCGCCCGACGGCUCGUCC
This 91-nucleotide transfer RNA is filed under the name Ornithinimicrobium pekingense. RNAcentral describes it as "tRNA-Arg". Lineage: Bacteria; Bacillati; Actinomycetota; Actinomycetes; Micrococcales; Ornithinimicrobiaceae. The record is from RNAcentral.